UUCAUCCACGGUCUUGGUUGUGUAGGGGGUGUUUUGGCAUUCUGCAUUCCGCAGCAGGUUUGCCUCCGGGUCACCUUUAUUGUGACUGUAGAAGACCUGAGGGCGGGAGCGCGCAAUCAUCACGGUCUUUGAUAUUUCUCAGGGACGGAGCAGCCCUGAGACUCUCUACUGCGGCGGCGAGCACGGCUUUCCUCUCACGCAAAGCCCUCAAUACUUAGUGUUGUUUUAUAUUUAUAUUUUCCAUUUCUUACCUCUGGUCGAAACGCUCCGCGUGAUUUAAACAUUAUUGUCCCAAUUAUGCGACCCAUACCAACUUUUGCCCUCAUCUUCUAUCAGUUGCUUGCUGCGUAACGCGAAUUGAUUCAUAAUCUGUUUGAACGACGGAUGACCAUCAUGUUAAUUGCUGUUGGAUUUAUACUGGUUCGCCGUGCUGUUGGAUUAUUCCGGAGACGCAGCACGUUCUAAAGUGUUUUUGUGGAGACGGAUCGAUAAUGGUUUUAGUUGGGCUGUAAUACUGCUCGGACUAAAGGUAAAAGUCUUCGUUGGAGUGGAUCCUGAGAGACUGAUUGUCUGGGCAGUAACCGCAGGGAUUAAACGCUAGUGAAAUCAAAAGCGCGCGGCUGAUAUGGGUUCUGUUAUUUGUGACAAGAGAUUAGCGGGCCUCCUGCUCCUUCAAGCCUCCUCCCUCCUGCUGUUCAGUUCUGGAGAAAGGUUGUGCCCCUAUAGCUGUCGUUGCGAGGGAAAGAUUGUCCAUUGUGAGUCAGCUAGCUUCAAGGAUGUCCCUGAAAAUAUUUCAGUUAGUUGUCAAGGUCUGUCCCUACGCUACAAUGACCUGCACACAAUGCUCCCUUACCAAUUUGCUUAUCUUAACCAGUUACUGUGGCUGUACCUGGACCACAAUCAAAUCAUGUUUGUGGAUAGUCGUGCUUUUCAAGGAGUGCGACGACUGAAGGAGUUGAUCUUGAGCUCCAAUAGGAUUUCACAGCUCCAUAAUGUCACUUUUCACGGAGUACCUAACCUACGCAAUCUAGAUCUCUCCUACAACAGGUUGCAGGAACUGCAGCCAGGCCAGUUCUUUGGUCUUCGAAAACUGCAGAAUCUGCACUUGCGCUCCAACGGACUGAUGACAAUCCCUGUCCGAGCAUUUCUAGAGUGCAGAAGCUUGGAGUUUCUAGACUUAGGUUAUAAUCGGCUUCGGGUUCUGACUCGUACGGCAUUCCUGGGUUUGUCUCGACUUAUGGAACUCCACCUGGAGCAUAAUCAGUUUUCACGAAUCAAUUUCUUUCUUUUUCCUCGCCUUGCUAACCUCCGUGCCCUGUAUCUACAAUGGAACCAUAUCCGAGCUAUCAACCAAGGCCUUCCAUGGAGCUGGUAUACCUUGCAAAAGCUUGAUAUCUCUGGCAAUGAGAUUCAAGUUCUAGAUCCUGUAGUAUUUCAAUGCCUUCCCAAUCUUCAGGUUCUCAACUUAGAGUCUAACAAACUGGCCAAUGUGUCUCAGGAGGUUGUUGCUGCCUGGAUCUCCCUAACAGCCAUUAGCCUUGCAGGCAACAUGUGGGAUUGUGGACCAGGCAUCUGUCCUCUUGUUGUCUGGCUCAAGAAUUUUAGAGGCACCAAGGACACUAGUAUAAUCUGCAGCAGUCCUAAGCACCUUCAAGGGGAGAAGGUCAUGGAGGCUUCAAAGAACAACAUUGACUGUGAUGAUUAUGAAAUUACUGCUCAAUCACCUUUGUAUCUGCAGACCUUUGAUCCAAAUUUUGAUCUUACCCCUGAACCAACUGAACUAACAAUGGCUCCUACAACACCGCCUCCACCCCUCCCUUCACCUGCCUCUGAGGCGUCAUUUCCACCUCCUCAUCCUCGACCGCCUCAACAUCCAACCUUCCCCAGCCGUGAAAACCCAGAUCCCAUGGACUCCAAUCAAUGGACACCCUCAUCGUCCGACAGCUUAGUAGUGACACCAGCUCCUGAGCAAGACAUUGUGUCAUUUCACAAAGUGGUGAUGGGUGGGGUGGCACUGUUCUUCUCAGUGUCCCUUGUCUUGUCGGUAAUAUAUGUCUCCUGGAAACGUUACCCCGGUGCCACCCGACUGCUGCAGGAGAGUUCAGUUGGCCGAAAGCGGAGGAAAAAGAGUCAGGAGCCAGAACAGAACCUGAGCUCCCAGCUCCAGGAAUAUUACAUGAGCUACAAUCCUGCAGCCACGCCAGAAGCCUUGGAGGUGCUGGGUAAUGGGACAGGUACCUGCACCUGCACCAUAUCUGGCUCCCGGGAAUGUGAGGUAUGACAUGUGAAAGCAGCCUAAAAUCAAAUCAGAUCAAAACAAAUGAACGACUCAGGAAAUAGAGAAUGAAUACACAUGUCCCAGACCGUUACCUGGAGCUUGGAUUGGAGACAUACCCACCAUACACUGAAGGGACAGUUUUGUUCCCCAAAAUAAUUCACCGGCGGAGGAUUUGUGCCUACCUGCAUUUCAUCAGUCGCAUCAAGCUUUGUUCUCAUGAUUCCACUCAUGCUUUCAGUGCUUCUUUAGUGGAUUGUGGUCAGCCGGACACAGCUAACGGACAUCUGAGAGACAGUGGGAACAGAUGCCUCAGAUACAUAUAAUAUUAAAACACAUUUGGAUGCCUCACUUAAUACUUUAAUGCACCAGGACACGUGUCAGGUUUCUCUUGGAAGCCUUCAGUGAAACAUACCAAUGAAAGUUAUCCAGCCUUUGAUGAAACACCUAGCGUCAUUUGACGUUUGUGUGGACCUAUACAUAAACUAUAAACUUUGUUAAUAUACCCUUGAAUUUAAAACUGUACUUGCCCUUUCCUUUGUUAAUGUAAAUCCUUGGUAAAAUUGUGUAUCAGAAUAACUAAAUAAAACCUUUAUCUUUGCUGCCUAAUACUGGAUUUGUUAUGCUUUGAGUUUAUGCAAACUUCUCUGUACAGUUUUAUUUGAAGAGAUCCUCGAGUUUACAUGCCCUUCAUAACAGUAAUAAACUUCCUUCUGUUAUUCUGAGUAAUUUAAACACGACCUGCGAUCUCUUGACUAUGCCAACACUGUCUCAAUGUUUGAAAUGUUUGAACGUACAUAUGUAGUCUCAUUUUAUAGAAAAGUGUGUAAGCAAAUGUCAAGAUCUGAAUAUAGAGAAUGCGUUUUAAGUCCUAGUUUGAAGGCGAAGUGUCUUUUUUUUCAAUGCUGAAAUCAUCUCACAUCCUUUCCAUUUGGUGCCGCUAGUGGCACAGAAAUAAUUCACGUUUGUUGUAUGUUUAAGUGUGUGUGUUAGUGUUAUUGGGUAUUGAUAUGUUCAGGUUCCACCUGCCCCUCAGUCUUCAAAUAUUGCAACUUGAAAGGGUAAUUUAUUUAUAUGCUCCCACAUUUUAAUUUAAUAAUUACAUUUUGUAACAAAACUGUAUGAAUUGGACGCCACUGAGUUCUGUUUUAUAAUGAGAAUGUCGUAAAAAUCAAUGGUGAGGAAUAUAGAUUUGUCAAAUGGA
RNA transcript from Carassius carassius (crucian carp), 3479 nucleotides. It is a transcript of the gene named leucine-rich repeat transmembrane neuronal protein 4-like, with no coding region annotated. NCBI's taxonomy places the organism in Eukaryota, Metazoa, Chordata, Actinopteri, Cypriniformes, Cyprinidae. The record is from RefSeq and is a predicted model, not a curated record. The transcript is spliced from 3 exons.